GCUCUGUAGUGUAGUGGUGAUCACGUUCACCUAACGUGUGAAACGUCCCCAGUUCGAAACUGGGCAGAAACA
RNAcentral lists this transfer RNA (72 nucleotides) under Chrysemys picta bellii (western painted turtle). Its description in RNAcentral is "tRNA-Val (AAC) (tRNA-Val-AAC-16-1)". It matches the Rfam family "tRNA". From Rfam's summary of the family: Transfer RNA (tRNA) molecules are approximately 80 nucleotides in length. Their secondary structure includes four short double-helical elements and three loops (D, anti-codon, and T loops). Lineage: Eukaryota; Metazoa; Chordata; Testudines; Emydidae. The record is from RNAcentral.